Molecule: ribosomal RNA, 461 nt
Filed under: Capnocytophaga granulosa
Lineage: Bacteria; Pseudomonadati; Bacteroidota; Flavobacteriia; Flavobacteriales; Flavobacteriaceae
Description: bacterial SSU rRNA
Rfam family: Bacterial small subunit ribosomal RNA
Source: RNAcentral
GAUGAACGCUAGCGGCAGGCCUAACACAUGCAAGUCGAGGGAGAAGCCCUUCGGGGCAGAAACCGGCGCACGGGUGCGUAACGCGUAUGCAACCUACCUUUCACAGGGGGAUAGCCCGAAGAAAUUUGGAUUAAUACCCCAUAAUAUUAUUGGAUGGCAUCAUUUGAUAAUUAAAAUUACGAUGGUGAAAGAUGGGCAUGCGUCCUAUUAGCUAGUUGGAGUGGUAACGGCACCCCAAGGCUACGAUAGGUAGGGGUCCUGAGAGGGAGAUCCCCCACACUGGUACUGAGACAGGGACCAGACUCCUACGGGAGGCAGCAGUGAGGAAUAUUGGUCAAUGGUCGGAAGACUGAACCAGCCAUGCCGCGUGCAGGAAGAAUGCCUUAUGGGUUGUAAACUGCUUUUAUAUGGGAAGAAUAAGGAGUACGUGUACUUUGAUGACGGUACCAUAUGAUAAGCUC